UUGAACGCUGGCGGAAUGCUUUACACAUGCAAGUCGAGCGGCAGCGCGGGGCAACCUGGCGGCGAGCGGCGAACGGGUGAGUAAUGCAUCGGAACAUGUCCAUUCGUGGGGGAUAGCCCGGCGAAAGCCGGAUUAAUACCGCAUACGCCCGAGAGGGGAAAGCGGGGGACCGCAAGGCCUCGCGCGAUUGGGUUGGCCGAUGUCCGAUUAGCUUGUUGGUGAGGUAAAGGCUUACCAAGGCGAUGAUCGGUAGCUGGUCUGAGAGGAUGAUCAGCCACACUGGGACUGAGACACGGCCCAGACUCCUACGGGAGGCAGCAGUGGGGAAUUUUGGACAAUGGGGGCAACCCUGAUCCAGCCAUUCCGCGUGAGUGAAGAAGGCCUUCGGGUUGUAAAGCUCUUUUGUCCGGAGCGAAACGGUUACGGUGAAUAUCCGUGACUACUGACGGUACCGGAAGAAUAAGCACCGGCUAACUACGU
RNAcentral lists this ribosomal RNA (480 nucleotides) under uncultured bacterium. RNAcentral's name for it is "bacterial SSU rRNA". It matches the Rfam family "Bacterial small subunit ribosomal RNA", at positions 30 to 506 of the family's 1533-position model. The record is from RNAcentral.